Molecule: ribosomal RNA, 411 nt
Filed under: uncultured bacterium
Lineage: Bacteria
Description: bacterial SSU rRNA
Rfam family: Bacterial small subunit ribosomal RNA
Source: RNAcentral
UGGGGAAUAUUCCGCAAUGGACGAAAGUCUGACGGAGCAACGCCGCGUGAGUGAUGAAGGUUUUCGGACUGUAAAGCUCUGUUGUUUAGGACGAAAGUGCCUGUUGCGAACAGUUACAGGUAUUGACGGUACUAAACGAGGAAGCCACGGCUAACUACGUGCCAGCAGCCGCGGUAAUACGUAGGUGGCAAGCGUUGUCCGGAAUUAUUGGGCGUAAAGAGCAUGUAGGCGGAGAUUUAAGUCUGUUGUGAAAAUGCGGGGCUCAACCCCGUAUUGCGAUGGAAACUGAAUUUCUUGAGUGCAGGGGAGGAAAGGGGAAUUCCCAGUGUAGCGGUGAAAUGCGUAGAUAUUGGGAGGAACACCAGUGGCGAAGGCGCCUUUCUGGACUGUGUCUGACGCUGAGAUGCGAAA